UGCGUAGGCGGGGCAAUUAGUCAGUGGUGAAAUCCUGCGGCUUAACCGUAGAACUGCCAUUGAUACUGUUGCCCUUGAGUAUAGUUGAGGUGGGCGGAAUGUGUAAUGUAGCGGUGAAAUGCAUAGAGAUUACACAGAACACCAAUUGCGAAGGCAGCUCACUCAGCUAUAACUGACGCUGAGGCACGAAAGCGUGGGGAGCGAACAGGAUUAGAUACCCUGGUAGUCC
This 229-nucleotide ribosomal RNA is filed under the name uncultured bacterium. Its description in RNAcentral is "partial 16S ribosomal RNA". It matches the Rfam family "Bacterial small subunit ribosomal RNA", at positions 568 to 796 of the family's 1533-position model. The record is from RNAcentral.